RNAcentral lists this ribosomal RNA (301 nucleotides) under uncultured bacterium. Its description in RNAcentral is "partial 16S ribosomal RNA". It matches the Rfam family "Bacterial small subunit ribosomal RNA", at positions 509 to 807 of the family's 1533-position model. The record is from RNAcentral.
CAGUCGCCACAGUAAUACGAAGGGGGCUAGCGUUGUUCGGAAUUACUGGGCGUAAAGCGCACGCAGGCGGCUCGAUAAGUUAGAAGUGAAAGCCUUGGGCUUAACCUGAGAAUUGCUUUUAAGACUGUCGAGCUAGAAUCCAGAAGAGGGUAGUGGAAUUCCGAGUGUAGAGGUGAAAUUCGUAGAUAUUCGGAAGAACACCAGUGGCGAAGGCGACUACCUGGUCUGGCAUUGACGCUCAUGUGCGAAAGCGUGGGGAGCAAACAGGAUUAGAUACCCCCGUAGUCCCUGUCUCUUAUAC